Molecule: long non-coding RNA, 292 nt
Organism: Hyaena hyaena (striped hyena)
Lineage: Eukaryota; Metazoa; Chordata; Mammalia; Carnivora; Hyaenidae
Exons: 4
Source: RefSeq, a predicted model, not a curated record
CCGAAGAGUUGCCCGGUGGCCGAGGCAGACGGAAGCCGAGGGAGAGUCUCGGCAGCAGCAGGAUGGGGGACUCCAAAGUGAAAGUGGCCGUGCGGAUCCGGCCCAUGAACCGGAGAGAAAUUGACUUGCAUACCAAAUGUGUGGUGGAUGUAGAUGCAAACAAGGUUAUUCUUAGUCCUAUAAAUACUAAUCUUUCCAAAGGAGAUGCCCGAAGCCAGCCAAAGGUGUUUGCAUAUGAUCAUUGUUUCUGGUCUAUGGAUGAAUCAGUCAGAGAAAAAUAUGCAGGUAAGGA